This 465-nucleotide ribosomal RNA is filed under the name Vreelandella stevensii. RNAcentral's name for it is "partial 16S ribosomal RNA". It matches the Rfam family "Bacterial small subunit ribosomal RNA", at positions 338 to 795 of the family's 1533-position model. Lineage: Bacteria; Pseudomonadati; Pseudomonadota; Gammaproteobacteria; Oceanospirillales; Halomonadaceae. The record is from RNAcentral.
CCUACGGGUGGCAGCAGUGGGGAAUAUUGGACAAUGGGGGGAACCCUGAUCCAGCCAUGCCGCGUGUGUGAAGAAGGCCCUCGGGUUGUAAAGCACUUUCAGUGAGGAAGAACGCCUGGUGGUUAAUACCCAUCAGGAAAGACAUCACUCACAGAAGAAGCACCGGCUAACUCCGUGCCAGCAGCCGCGGUAAUACGGAGGGUGCGAGCGUUAAUCGGAAUUACUGGGCGUAAAGCGCGCGUAGGUGGCUUGAUAAGCCGGUUGUGAAAGCCCCGGGCUCAACCUGGGAACGGCAUCCGGAACUGUCAAGCUAGAGUGCAGGAGAGGAAGGUAGAAUUCCCGGUGUAGCGGUGAAAUGCGUAGAGAUCGGGAGGAAUACCAGUGGCGAAGGCGGCCUUCUGGACUGGCACUGACACUGAGGUGCGAAAGCGUGGGUAGCAAACAGGAUUAGAUACCCGGGUAGUC